This is a non-coding RNA of Danio rerio (zebrafish), 642 nucleotides long. Lineage: Eukaryota; Metazoa; Chordata; Actinopteri; Cypriniformes; Danionidae. The record is from Ensembl.
UCGACAUGCAGGCAACGGCUCUCCUAAUUUGAAAUUCACCUGUCGUCUUUCAUCCAGCGAAUUCAUCCUCGCACAACACUGAGAUGAAGGCGAAGUCACCAUGAAAAGUUAAACCUUUACCGUUAAGCUACAGUAAUUGAUGUUGAAAAACUGAUGCUACCAAUCACUCCUCACUUGAUUAUUCAAGCCCAAAUUGUGAUGGACCUGGAAUGCGACACCAGUUACUCUUAAGACAAGAACCGAAUAAAGCACAGAUGUGGAGGGAUUUGCAGCCAAACUAACUGGAGGGAAGGAACCUUUAGUGUGGGUGAACAUACUACCUGGAUGUCCAACAAAGGCUGCACAAGAGCUCAUUUGAUAGCACAUAUUCUGUCCUGUCUACAUCUCUGAUGACCUGGAAGUGCUUCGACAUCAGAUCAUCAUCAUGCUGCUGCCCUUUUUCACUGUCCCUUUCCACAUCAAUUGGCCUUCAUCAUUUCCUGUCUUGUAGCAGUAUUUUCACCUGUUUUUAAAAUUGUAAUAAUUUUUGAUGCAUUAAUUGUUGACUGGUUUUAAUGAUCAAUUGUUUAUUAGUGUUCUGUUGCUCUGUUAUAUUGAAUUACUGCUACUGUUUUAGCAUGGUUUACACAAUAAACCUUUAUU